CGGAGGAAAGGUGAGGAGAAGCAUCCAAUCUCUAGCCUCAGCCACACUCAUUAUUUUGGGCACCAGCAACUGCUGCCUCUUGCUGGCAUCACACAUAGGGAGGAGCAGGAGCUGUGUCAUUUGGGUUAGGCCACCUGCCACUGAGAAUUUCAAAUGGAGAUCAAUUCUACUCUGAGGAGAAGAAGCGCAUAAGCUUAGCUUCCUUUUAAAAGUACAGAGACACCAGAGGCCUGAUCAAGAUCCCACUGAGAUCUAUUGAUUGACUCCCAUGGACUUCAGUGGUGGCUCUGUCAGGGCCCUGAGCUACAAGAAUAUAUUUCCAUCCAAGAUGCUGAUCAGUUGAAUAAACCACUUGAGCUUUGAUGAUGUAAACACCUGCUGCACCUAUACCUGUUAUUUUAGGAGAGGCUUCAACGCCUCUUCAAAGUCCUAAUCAACUGAAGCUGCCCGAGCACAUCCAGAUUCUUCCCACCGACUUCAGAGAAUCUGGUGGACUGCAGGACAGCCUUUGUUGCCUAUUCUAAUUAGUUUUAUCAGUCCCACAGCUUUGAAGUGUGGCCUGCUGGGGGCCUCCUCAGCAGUGCUAUAUUGUAAUAAUGCAGGGCUGCAUGCACAAACUUCAGAACUGGUCAAAGAGUCAUGAUUAUUUUUCACUAAAUAAAGAAAACUGCAAAAUAUUUUUUCAGCAGAUUUUCAAAAAGAAUGAGUUUGUUUUAUAUGAACAUUUGCACAAUUCUUUUUUUAGGUUUGUUUGGUUUUCAUUAUCAGACCUUUUUUCUUUUUUUCUGCUCCUGUAUC
Mauremys reevesii (Reeves's turtle) is the source of this 798-nucleotide long non-coding RNA. RefSeq lists it as uncharacterized. The record is from RefSeq and is a predicted model, not a curated record. The transcript has 3 exons. NCBI's taxonomy places the organism in Eukaryota, Metazoa, Chordata, Testudines, Geoemydidae.